Molecule: non-coding RNA, 68 nt
Organism: Glossina brevipalpis
Lineage: Eukaryota; Metazoa; Arthropoda; Insecta; Diptera; Glossinidae
Source: Rfam
GAUUAAAUGGCUGAAGAUUAGGCAAUAAAUUGUAAAUUUAUUUAUAAGGGUAAAUUCCUUUUUAAUCA